GGAGAGGUGGCAGAGCGGUUGAAUGCACCGGUCUUGAAAACCGGCAAGGGUUGAUGCCCUUCGAGGGUUCGAAUCCCUCCCUCUCCGCCA
This 90-nucleotide transfer RNA is filed under the name Gammaproteobacteria bacterium. RNAcentral's name for it is "tRNA-Ser". It matches the Rfam family "tRNA". From Rfam's summary of the family: Transfer RNA (tRNA) molecules are approximately 80 nucleotides in length. Their secondary structure includes four short double-helical elements and three loops (D, anti-codon, and T loops). Further hydrogen bonds mediate the characteristic L-shaped molecular structure. tRNAs have two regions of fundamental functional importance: the anti-codon, which is responsible for specific mRNA codon recognition, and the 3' end, to which the tRNAs corresponding amino acid is attached (by aminoacyl-tRNA synthetases). tRNAs cope with the degeneracy of the genetic code in two manners: having more than one tRNA (with a specific anti-codon) for a particular amino acid; and 'wobble' base-pairing, i.e. permitting non-standard base-pairing at the 3rd anti-codon position. The record is from RNAcentral. Lineage: Bacteria; Pseudomonadati; Pseudomonadota; Gammaproteobacteria.